GAAAUUAAGAAGAAGAAGAAGAAAACAAGAAAAAGAACACAUCUUUGUUCUUUUGUCUCUCUUCAAUGGAAGCUCCCCCUGCCCCAGAAGGAGAUCAACAGAGUUGGUGGUGGCGCCGCCUCAGUCCACCCUGCUGCGGCGGCGGCGCUGUGAAAGCCUUUCUCAAGUGCUUGGGUUUUGAUGACGGUGGGAGCGGCAGUGGAGGUGGGGAAGAUAGGGGUGGUGGGGCGGCAGAUUCUCCGGGGGCGGAGACGGUGACGGUUUUGGGUGGGAGGAGGCCGGGGAGGCCUCCGGUGAGCUCUGGCGGUGGUGGGCAGAUUAAUUAGGUAAUGAUUAGGUUGUAGUUAAUUAGUUAGUUAAUUAUGAAUCUAUGAUGUUAUAUUAACUAAGUAAUUAAUUUAUUAAUUAAUUUCAACAUGUACCUUAUUUAUUUAUUUUGUUUUUUUUAUUGCUAUUGUUAAUUGUUGGGCAGAUUAAUGAGGUGAUGAACUGAUGAUUAGGUUGUACUUAAUUAGUUAGUUAAUUAUGAUGUUAUAUUGACUAAGUAAUUAAUUAAUUCCACUUGUACUUAUUUAUUUGUUCUGUUUUUAUUGUUAUUGUUAAUUUUGUUUGGUUGAAUGGUUGUUAAAUUGUUUUUGUUUGUUAUAUAUUUCUCU
RNAcentral lists this long non-coding RNA (656 nucleotides) under Linum usitatissimum (flax). RNAcentral describes it as "long non-coding RNA (LUSI_LNC006960)". Lineage: Eukaryota; Viridiplantae; Streptophyta; Magnoliopsida; Malpighiales; Linaceae. The record is from RNAcentral.